AUGUAUGAAAAAAGGAGAGGCGGUCAGCACUCCCCUUGAUAAGGAUGGAAGCGGUCCUAGAGGCCUUUACAACAUGCAUAUGGUUAAGGCAUUGCCACUUGCUUCGCGGCAUCUAACCAAGUUUUAUU
Hemicordylus capensis (graceful crag lizard) is the source of this 128-nucleotide small nuclear RNA. The record is from RefSeq and is a predicted model, not a curated record. NCBI's taxonomy places the organism in Eukaryota, Metazoa, Chordata, Lepidosauria, Squamata, Cordylidae.